RNAcentral lists this ribosomal RNA (495 nucleotides) under uncultured bacterium. RNAcentral's name for it is "partial 16S ribosomal RNA". It matches the Rfam family "Bacterial small subunit ribosomal RNA", at positions 28 to 507 of the family's 1533-position model. The record is from RNAcentral.
GACGAACGCUGGCGGCGUGCCUAAUACAUGCAAGUAGAACGCUGAAGGAGGAGCUUGCUCUUCUGGAUGAGUUGCGAACGGGUGAGUAACGCGUAGGUAACCUGCCUGGUAGCGGGGGAUAACUAUUGGAAACGAUAGCUAAUACCGCAUAACAGUAGAUGUUGCAUGACAUUUACUUAAAAGGUGCAAUUGCAUCACUACCAGAUGGACCUGCGUUGUAUUAGCUAGUUGGUGGGGUAACGGCUCACCAAGGCGACGAUACAUAGCCGACCUGAGAGGGUGAUCGGCCACACUGGGACUGAGACACGGCCCAGACUCCUACGGGAGGCAGCAGUAGGGAAUCUUCGGUAAUGGACGGAAGUCUGACCGAGCAACGCCGCGUGAGUGAAGAAGGUUUUCGGAUCGUAAAGCUCUGUUGUAAGAGAAGAACGAGUGUGAGAGUGGAAAGUUCACACUGUGACGGUAUCUUACCAGAAAGGGACGGCUAACUACGUG